AGUAAAUCAAUAUACACCACGCUCACCUGCUGAUUAUGGACACCGUCGCCCUCAGAUCGAAUAUCUUCAUCCAUAGGAAUAACUUCUUCAUGUUACACCGCGACAGAAAAGAAGGAAAUAAGGAAAAAAUUAAUAAACCAGCAGGAACCUGAACAGCUUAGAAAACGAGAUAUUACCUCCGCCUCCUUGUAACCAGCACCACUUGAGACAUUAUAAUUAUAG
This 222-nucleotide small RNA is filed under the name Arabidopsis thaliana (thale cress). RNAcentral's name for it is "ATSL029700". The record is from RNAcentral. Lineage: Eukaryota; Viridiplantae; Streptophyta; Magnoliopsida; Brassicales; Brassicaceae.